UUUGUUGGUGAGGUAACGGCUCACCAAGGCCACGAUGUCUAGGGGGUCUGAGAGGAUGGUCCCCCACACUGGUACUGAGACACGGACCAGACUCCUACGGGAGGCAGCAGUGAGGAAUAUUGGUCAAUGGGCGAAAGCCUGAACCAGCCAUGCCGCGUGAAGGAUGACAGCGCUAUGCGUUGUAAACUUCUUUUGUACGGGAAGAAACACUUCUACUUGUAGAAGCUUGACGGUACCGUACGAAUAAGCAUCGGCUAACUCCGUGCCAGCAGCCGCGGUAAUACGGAGGAUGCAAGCGUUAUCCGGAUUUAUUGGGUUUAAAGGGUACGUAGGCGGAAAAUUAAGUCAGUGGUGAAAUCCCGCAGCUUAACUGUGGAACUGUCAUUGAUACUGGUUUUCUUGAAUAUAGUUGAGGUAGGCGGAAUGUGUAAUGUAGCGGUGAAAUGCUUAGAUAUUACACAGAACACCGAUUGCGAAGGCAGCUUACUAGACUAUGAUUGACGCUGAGGUACGAAAGCGUGGGGAGCGAACAGGAUUAGAUACCCUGGUAGUCCACGCUGUAAACGAUGAUCACUCGUUGUUGGCGAUAUACUGUCAGCGACUGAGCGAAAGCAUUAAGUGAUCCACCUGGGGAGUACGACCGCAAGGUUGAAACUCAAAGGAAUUGACGGGGGCCCGCACAAGCGGAGGAACAUGUGGUUUAAUUCGAUGAUACGCGAGGAACCUUACCUGGGCUUAAAUGCAGAACGACGGACCGGGAAACUGGUCUUUCUUCGGACGGACUGCAAGGUGCUGCAUGGCUGUCGUCAGCUCGUGCCGUGAGGUGUCGGGUUAAGUCCCAUAACGAGCGCAACCCUCAUCAUUAGUUGCCAGCGGGUAAUGCCGGGGACUCUAAUGAAACUGCCGGUGUAAACCGAGAGGAAGGUGGGGAUGACGUCAAGUCAGCACGGCCCUUAUGUCCAGGGCUACACACGUGUUACAAUGGUCGGUACAAAGGGCGGCUACCUGGUGACAGGAUGCUAAUCUCGAAAACCGAUCUUAGUUCGGAUCGAAGUCUGCAACUCGACUUCGUGAAGCUGGAUUCGCUAGUAAUCGCGCACUCAGCCACGGCGCGGUGAAUACGUUCCCGGGCCUUGUACACACCGCCCGUCAAGCCAUGGAAGCUGGGGGUACCUGAAGUCCGUAAC
This 1187-nucleotide ribosomal RNA is filed under the name uncultured organism. RNAcentral's name for it is "bacterial SSU rRNA". It matches the Rfam family "Bacterial small subunit ribosomal RNA", at positions 245 to 1434 of the family's 1533-position model. The record is from RNAcentral.